UACGGAGGGGGCUAGCGUUGUUCGGAAUUACUGGGCGUAAAGCGCACGUAGGCGGCUUUGUAAGUUAGAGGUGAAAGCCCGGGGCUCAACUCCGGAAUUGCCUUUAAGACUGCAUCGCUAGAAUUGUGGAGAGGUAAGUGGAAUUCCGAGUGUAGAGGUGAAAUUCGUAGAUAUUCGGAAGAACACCAGUGGCGAAGGCGACUUACUGGACACAUAUUGACGCUGAGGUGCGAAAGCGUGGGGAGCAAACCGG
This 253-nucleotide ribosomal RNA is filed under the name uncultured bacterium. RNAcentral's name for it is "partial 16S ribosomal RNA". It matches the Rfam family "Bacterial small subunit ribosomal RNA", at positions 524 to 776 of the family's 1533-position model. The record is from RNAcentral.